This 1369-nucleotide ribosomal RNA is filed under the name uncultured bacterium. Its description in RNAcentral is "bacterial SSU rRNA". It matches the Rfam family "Bacterial small subunit ribosomal RNA", at positions 28 to 1381 of the family's 1533-position model. The record is from RNAcentral.
GACGAACGCUGGCGGCGUGCCUAAUACAUGCAAGUAGAACGCUGAAGAGAGGAGCUUGCUCUUCUUGGAUGAGUUGCGAACGGGUGAGUAACGCGUAGGUAACCUGCCUUGUAGCGGGGGAUAACUAUUGGAAACGAUAGCUAAUACCGCAUAACAAUGGAUGACACAUGUCAUUUAUUUGAAAGGGGCAAUUGCUCCACUACAAGAUGGACCUGCGUUGUAUUAGCUAGUAGGUGAGGUAACGGCUCACCUAGGCGACGAUACAUAGCCGACCUGAGAGGGUGAUCGGCCACACUGGGACUGAGACACGGCCCAGACUCCUACGGGAGGCAGCAGUAGGGAAUCUUCGGCAAUGGGGGCAACCCUGACCGAGCAACGCCGCGUGAGUGAAGAAGGUUUUCGGAUCGUAAAGCUCUGUUGUAAGUCAAGAACGAGUGUGAGAGUGGAAAGUUCACACUGUGACGGUAGCUUACCAGAAAGGGACGGCUAACUACGUGCCAGCAGCCGCGGUAAUACGUAGGUCCCGAGCGUUGUCCGGAUUUAUUGGGCGUAAAGCGAGCGCAGGCGGCUUGAUAAGUCUGAAGUUAAAGGCUGUGGCUCAACCAUAGUUCGCUUUGGAAACUGUCAAACUUGAGUGCAGAAGGGGAGAGUGGAAUUCCAUGUGUAGCGGUGAAAUGCGUAGAUAUAUGGAGGAACACCGGUGGCGAAAGCGGCUCUCUGGUCUGUAACUGACGCUGAGGCUCGAAAGCGUGGGGAGCGAACAGGAUUAGAUACCCUGGUAGUCCACGCCGUAAACGAUGAGUGCUAGGUGUUGGAUCCUUUCCGGGAUUCAGUGCCGCAGCUAACGCAUUAAGCACUCCGCCUGGGGAGUACGACCGCAAGGUUGAAACUCAAAGGAAUUGACGGGGGCCCGCACAAGCGGUGGAGCAUGUGGUUUAAUUCGAAGCAACGCGAAGAACCUUACCAGGUCUUGACAUCCCGAUGCUAUUUCUAGAGAUAGAAAGUUACUUCGGUACAUCGGUGACAGGUGGUGCAUGGUUGUCGUCAGCUCGUGUCGUGAGAUGUUGGGUUAAGUCCCGCAACGAGCGCAACCCCUAUUGUUAGUUGCCAUCAUUCAGUUGGGCACUCUAGCGAGACUGCCGGUAAUAAACCGGAGGAAGGUGGGGAUGACGUCAAAUCAUCAUGCCCCUUAUGACCUGGGCUACACACGUGCUACAAUGGUUGGUACAACGAGUUGCGAGUCGGUGACGGCAAGCUAAUCUCUUAAAGCCAAUCUCAGUUCGGAUUGUAGGCUGCAACUCGCCUACAUGAAGUCGGAAUCGCUAGUAAUCGCGGAUCAGCACGCCGCGGUGAAUACGUUCCCGGGCCU